GAUGAACGCUAGCGGCAGGCUUAAUACAUGCAAGUCGAGGGGCAGCAGGCUGUAGCAAUACAGUGCUGGCGACCGGCAAACGGGUGCGGAACACGUACAGAACCUUCCUUUAAGCGGGGAAUAGCCCAGAGAAAUUUGGAUUAAUACCCCAUAGUAUAGUGGUUAGGCAUCUAACUAUUAUUAAAGAUUUAUCACUUAAAGAUGGCUGUGCGGCUGAUUAGGUAGUUGGCGGGGUAACGGCCCACCAAGCCAACGAUCAGUAACUGGUGUGAGAGCACGACCAGUCACACGGGCACUGAGACACGGGCCCGACUCCUACGGGAGGCUG
Molecule: ribosomal RNA, 328 nt
Filed under: uncultured Bacteroidota bacterium
Lineage: Bacteria; Pseudomonadati; Bacteroidota
Description: bacterial SSU rRNA
Rfam family: Bacterial small subunit ribosomal RNA
Source: RNAcentral